This 57-nucleotide transfer RNA is filed under the name synthetic construct. Its description in RNAcentral is "tRNA-Leu". The record is from RNAcentral.
GGUUGUUUGGCCGAGCGGUCUAAGGCGCCUGAUUCAAGAAAUAUCUUGACCGCAGUU